This 83-nucleotide transfer RNA is filed under the name Commensalibacter papalotli (ex Servin-Garciduenas et al. 2014). It matches the Rfam family "tRNA". From Rfam's summary of the family: Transfer RNA (tRNA) molecules are approximately 80 nucleotides in length. Their secondary structure includes four short double-helical elements and three loops (D, anti-codon, and T loops). Further hydrogen bonds mediate the characteristic L-shaped molecular structure. tRNAs have two regions of fundamental functional importance: the anti-codon, which is responsible for specific mRNA codon recognition, and the 3' end, to which the tRNAs corresponding amino acid is attached (by aminoacyl-tRNA synthetases). tRNAs cope with the degeneracy of the genetic code in two manners: having more than one tRNA (with a specific anti-codon) for a particular amino acid; and 'wobble' base-pairing, i.e. permitting non-standard base-pairing at the 3rd anti-codon position. Lineage: Bacteria; Pseudomonadati; Pseudomonadota; Alphaproteobacteria; Acetobacterales; Acetobacteraceae. The record is from Rfam by way of RNAcentral.
GCGAGCUUGGCGGAAUGGUAGACGCUCAAGACUUAAAAUCUUGUGUCCAAUUGGACGUGUGGGUUCAAGUCCCACAGUUCGCA